AGUCUGCAACCCGACUACAUGAAGCCGGAAUCGCUAGUAAUCGCGGAUCAGAAUGCCGCGGUGAAUACGUUCCCGGGUCUUGUACACACCGCCCGUCACACCAUGGGAGUUGGAAAUGCCCGAAGUCAGUGGCCCAACCGGAAGGGGGGAGGCUGCCGAAGGCAGGUUCGAUGACUGGGGUGAAGUCGUAACAAGGUAUC
Molecule: ribosomal RNA, 200 nt
Filed under: uncultured bacterium
Lineage: Bacteria
Description: partial 16S ribosomal RNA
Rfam family: Bacterial small subunit ribosomal RNA
Source: RNAcentral